UCGCUGAUUUGAUUCUAGCUUGCUAGAGGAUUUUCUUGAAUCACUUAGUGGCGGACGGGUGAGUAACACGUGAGCAACCUGCCUUACAGAGGGGGACAACAGUUGGAAACGGCUGCUAAUACCGCAUAACGUAUUCGGAAGGCAUCUUCUGAAUACCAAAGGAGCAAUCCGCUGUAAGAUGGGCUCGCGUCCGAUUAGAUAGUUGGUGGGGUAACGGCCUACCAAGUCGACGAUCGGUAGCCGGACUGAGAGGUUGAACGGCCACAUUGGGACUGAGACACGGCCCAGACUCCUACGGGAGGCAGCAGUGGGGGAUACUGCACAAUGGAGGAAACUCUGAUGCAGCAACGCCGCGUGAGGGAAGAAGGUUUUCGGAUUGUAAACCUCUGUUUUUAGUGAAUAAACAAAUGACGGUAGCUAAAGAGGAAUUCACGGCUAACUACGUG
Molecule: ribosomal RNA, 446 nt
Filed under: uncultured bacterium
Lineage: Bacteria
Description: bacterial SSU rRNA
Rfam family: Bacterial small subunit ribosomal RNA
Source: RNAcentral